Molecule: ribosomal RNA, 264 nt
Filed under: uncultured bacterium
Lineage: Bacteria
Description: partial 16S ribosomal RNA
Rfam family: Bacterial small subunit ribosomal RNA
Source: RNAcentral
UACGUAGGGUGCGAGCGUUGUCCGGAAUUACUGGGCGUAAAGAGCUCGUAGGUGGUUUUGUCGCGUUGUCCGUGAAAACUCACAAACUCAAUUGUGGGCUUGCGGUCGAUACGGGCAUCACUGGAGUUCGGCAGGGGAGGACUGGAAUUCCGUGGUGUAGCGGUGAAAAUGCGCAGAUAUCAGGAGGAACACCGGUGGCGAAGGCGGGGAUCUCUGGGCCGGAUACUGACGCUGAGGAGCGAAAAGCGUGGGGGAGCGAACAGG